AUGGCAAGAGUGUUUCACCAGCUUAAUCUGGAUGACAUGAAUGAUAGAAAUUAACUAGCUCCCAAAGCCUGAAGCCCAGAACCGUCUACUCAAUAGUUGGCUUCCAUCCUUGAAUCUCUUGGUAUAUAUUAGCAUCCACCUUCAUUGUCUUGUCCACUAGGCGUUGAGAAGAGGUACCAACUUUGAAAACCAUAAUCCAUCAACGUCUAGGCAGCUCAGUCUUGUGGUUGCACUCCUCUUGGUCGUCAAGGCUGCAUUGGUGAUGCUUGGCAAAUGAUACGAACACAAAUACAUCAAUAGUGAAGAAUGAAUUUACUCUGAAAUGCUUACCUAGUGGUUUCACUUUCUUUCCUUCCCUGCAACCAAUCACUUGGAGGAUUAUACAUAGUUUCCCCCACAUCCAUAACAAUAACAGAUCCUGCAAGGGCACGUAUACCAAAGGAGAAAAAGUGACAGUGAAAUAAGACUUAAUUUGCUGUUUCUGAUAUCUCCCUGUCAGUUCUACCGAUUCAGUUAAACCCACCAAAGGGCUAACAAACUCACCAAUUCACCGUUCUAAUCUGCAGAGACAUACUAGAGAGUAGUCACAAGGCAAUCUACUACACCACAAGAAGACAAUUU
RNAcentral lists this long non-coding RNA (621 nucleotides) under Coffea arabica (coffee). RNAcentral's name for it is "long non-coding RNA (CARA_LNC000367)". The record is from RNAcentral. Lineage: Eukaryota; Viridiplantae; Streptophyta; Magnoliopsida; Gentianales; Rubiaceae.